AAACCAACAGGGAUUGCCUCAGUAACGGCGAGUGAAGCGGCAAAAGCUCAAAUUUGAAAUCCUUCGGGAAUUGUAUUUUGAAGGUGGGUUUGGUUAGGAAAAGAUACUUUAAGUCCAUUGGAAAAUGGCGCCAUGGAGGGUGAUAGCCCCGUAAAAGUCCCCCUUUUCCUUCUAUCCAUUCCCUCCAAAGAGUCGAGUUGUUUGGGAAUGCAGCUCUAAGUGGGUGGUAAAUUCCAUCUAAAGCUAAAUAUUGGCGAGAGACCGAUAGCGAACAAGUACAGUGAUGGAAAGAUGAAAAGCACUUUGAAAAGAGAGUGAAAAAGUACGUGAAAUUGUUGAAAGGGAAGGGCUUGCAAGCAGACACAACCUCGGUUGGGCCAGCAUCGGAGUGGGGGGAGACAAAAAAGAAAAGGAAUGUAACUCUUUCGAGUAUUAUAGCCUUCUCUCAUAUCUCCACCCCCUUCCGAGGCCUGCGAUUCUUCAAGGAUGCUGGCGUAAUGGUUGCAAGUCGC
Molecule: ribosomal RNA, 512 nt
Filed under: [Candida] sp. CBS 10645
Lineage: Eukaryota; Fungi; Ascomycota; Saccharomycetes; Saccharomycetales
Description: eukaryotic LSU rRNA
Rfam family: Eukaryotic large subunit ribosomal RNA
Source: RNAcentral